Molecule: non-coding RNA, 812 nt
Filed under: Pongo abelii (Sumatran orangutan)
Lineage: Eukaryota; Metazoa; Chordata; Mammalia; Primates; Hominidae
Source: RNAcentral
GGGCCCCCAGAAUUCCUGAGAACCCUCCAACUGUGUGCUCAGGGCAGCCCGGAUGGCUGGGCCGGCUCAUACCGUUGAAAAACUUGAUGAUGUCAGUGAAAUCCAUGUCGUUGUCGCGGAUGAUCUCUCGCUUACGCAGCCCAGUCCCCUGUCCCGCCAUCCCUCACCAUUGUCGAGGGUGACCAGGAGAGGAGCCAGCAGAUCGCACAUGCCCUGCACAUAGCCCACGUCCAGGUGCUCCCACACGUAGCUGAAAGGCAGGGGCAGUCACUGUGGCUGUGCCCCAUUCUUCCCUCCCUCGGGAUCCCUGGGGAGACGGCCUCCAGAGCCACCUGCCGCCCAGAAGUCAGCCUUCCCGCGACCCUAAGGCUUGACUGGAUGCCCGAGGCCACGGAGUAAUUGCGAGAGGAGGGCAGUCCUGAGUCUGGAGAGUCGAACUCCAUGGAAUGCUGCUGCUCCACCAUGGCGGUGCCCAGAGUCCCGGCUCCUGCUUCCUGCUCAGCCUCCAACACUGUGGCCACGGAGCACCAAGCCAGCUUCUGACCCAGCCAGCCAGGCGGAGAGAAACAAGCCUCUGGCCAAACAUGAAGACACGUCUUCAGCCCUGCUUGAAUGAACAGCCCCAGGUCUUCCUGGGGCUACUGAAGGGAAGAAGGGGAGCCAGAGGGCUGAACGCUCAAUGGCCAGUUUGAACUCAGUCUCAUUCUAGAAACGCCUGAAGUCAUGAGCCCAGGAGAAUGGCCUUAGUGUUUUGGUGUGGCUGGGUGGAGAGAAGCCUAAAGGUUUUAGGAAAACAAGUUUUGCCUUAUUUU